Molecule: non-coding RNA, 228 nt
Organism: Pelobates cultripes (western spadefoot toad)
Lineage: Eukaryota; Metazoa; Chordata; Amphibia; Anura; Pelobatidae
Source: the annotation of a GenBank genome assembly
AGCAGGGAGUCCACGUUUGUGCCCCAUCACCCGAUACUCUAGCAACCGAACGGGUACCGAACAAAGGGCCACCUACAGCCUGGCGUGUGGCUCCAAUUAGAAUGUUGGUUUCUGCAGUUAACCGCAGGUUAAGUACCCCCUCCCGGCGGUCUUCAUUCCUCUCCCGAACACCAGAGAUUUCCAGCGACGGAGCGGGGAUUCGUACAGACUGCUAGCCGGUUCUUGUUC